GGUUUGCAUAUUGCCCACACAGAUGAUGCUUGAAGAUGCAUAUUCGCUGGCUGAGAGGAGACGCUCUCCCAACCCCUUAUUAAUGCCAAUAAUAGAGGAUCCGAAGAUGGAGCUGAAAACAUUCCUCCUGCCCCUGCGUUUAGGCCUGUUAACUGCAUUUCACCCAAGCGCUGAGGUAAAUAUUUUUUUCACCAUGAAGAGUUUUCCCUCCAUCUGUUUCCUCUUUAAGUUUGACCUGUCUGUGUUUAAACCGUUUUUAAAAAACUAACAUUUAAAAAAAAAAGAAAGAAGAAAAAGAAGGAAGAGAAAGAUUUUUUAAGAAAGGCUACCUGAUUGGACUUCUUUAGAUAUUUAAAUAUGCCCUUGAAGCAAGGUCAAGCCAACGUUUACACUUUUUUGGAGCGUUUGGCUCUUAAAUGGCAGCACACACCUAAUCAUGCUUGAAGUUGUCUCCACAGUUGCAGUGUAAGGUACAACACAAGCCUUCAGGGUGUUUAGCGUUGCUGUUGUGAGAGGAAAAGUGUUUAAAGUCAUUAAUCAAAGCAAAGGAAGUUAUCAGUCAACAGUCAAAAAUGCAAGAAGCACAAUAAAGUAAUUUGCAAAAAGGCCAUUAGUUAUCCAUGGCCUGCUUUCUGUCAUUUCAGCAGCUUAAUAAAACUAUAUAUUUAUGUCAGCAUGCCAUUUUUGAACAAAUUCUAUGUGAUCACAUUAAUAAAGCUGAGUACAGAAAUUGACAGAAAAAUACUUAUUUUUAAUAACAGUAGCUGCAUGCCUCACUUUUACAUUGCUAAAUUAUAAAACACUGUUAAAUUAUUAUAAAAGAGUUGAACUUACUCAUUGCUACUCAUAUCCUACAAGGCCAUAAGUGCAAUGCCAACAAUCUGCCAUUACACAUUUUGUCACUGUGUUCCCCCCCUCCUCAAUUUCUAUCAUUUUAAACAUCUCCAAAACCAUAAAGCUGUUUAUUCACAACAUUUUGGUUUCUUUGUUUUACUUAAUAAGAAAUAUAAACACUAUUAUAUGGGUGUGCCAUGACCUAGUUAAGACAAAGAUGGAUUCCCAGGCAGAGUAAAAAAAAAGGCUCAAAAUGUCACAGGGUAUUACAUCCAGUACAUUCUCUUCCUUCUUCUCAAUCCUUUAAAAGGAGGAAUCAUAGUUUUAUCAUAGUCCGUGAGAGAUGAGGAAAUCAAGUGUAAGAUCCCUUUUGGAACAAAGGAAACCCAUAUAGGCCAUUGAGUCCCUGUUUUAAGGAAAAUGGCUGCCGAGAGCGCUC
Amphiprion ocellaris (clown anemonefish) is the source of this 1273-nucleotide long non-coding RNA. Lineage: Eukaryota; Metazoa; Chordata; Actinopteri; Pomacentridae. The record is from Ensembl.